RNAcentral lists this transfer RNA (66 nucleotides) under Amblema plicata. RNAcentral's name for it is "Amblema perplicata tRNA-Asp". The record is from RNAcentral. Lineage: Eukaryota; Metazoa; Mollusca; Bivalvia; Unionida; Unionidae.
AAAGAAUUAGUUAAAACAUAAUCUGAGUUUGUCAAGCUCGUGUUGCCUGUAAGAAGGUAUUCUUUU